This 253-nucleotide ribosomal RNA is filed under the name uncultured bacterium. RNAcentral describes it as "partial 16S ribosomal RNA". It matches the Rfam family "Bacterial small subunit ribosomal RNA", at positions 524 to 776 of the family's 1533-position model. The record is from RNAcentral.
GACGAAGGGGGCUAGCGUUGUUCGGAAUUACUGGGCGUAAAGCGCGUGUAGGCGGUUGCCCAAGUCGGGUGUGAAAGCCUUGAGCUCAAAUCAAGAAAUGCACUCGGUACUGGGUGACUAGAGGACCGGAGAGGAUAGUGGAAUUCCCAGUGUAGUGGUGAAAUACGUAGAGAUUGGGAAGAACACCAGUGGCGAAGGCGGCUAUCUGGACGGUUUCUGACGCUAAGACGCGAAAGCGUGGGGAGCAAACAGG